RNAcentral lists this non-coding RNA (19 nucleotides) under Chlamydomonas reinhardtii. RNAcentral also lists the same sequence under 1 other name. Lineage: Eukaryota; Viridiplantae; Chlorophyta; Chlorophyceae; Chlamydomonadales; Chlamydomonadaceae. The record is from RNAcentral.
UGCCCUUAGAUGUUCUGGG